GGCGCUAUAGUGUAGUGGUUAUCACUUGGGAUUCUGAUCACUGCUAAGCGCUUGUUCCCACGACCCAGGUUCGAUCCCUGGUAGCGCCU
Molecule: non-coding RNA, 89 nt
Organism: Cerioporus squamosus
Lineage: Eukaryota; Fungi; Basidiomycota; Agaricomycetes; Polyporales; Polyporaceae
Source: the annotation of a GenBank genome assembly